This 496-nucleotide ribosomal RNA is filed under the name uncultured bacterium. RNAcentral's name for it is "partial 16S ribosomal RNA". It matches the Rfam family "Bacterial small subunit ribosomal RNA", at positions 28 to 506 of the family's 1533-position model. The record is from RNAcentral.
GAUGAACGCUGGCGGCGUGCCUAAUACAUGCAAGUCGAGCGAACAGACGAGGAGCUUGCUCCUCUGACGUUAGCGGCGGACGGGUGAGUAACACGUGGAUAACCUACCUAUAAGACUGGGAUAACUUCGGGAAACCGGAGCUAAUACCGGAUAAUAUAUUGAACCGCAUGGUUCAAUAGUGAAAGACGGUUUUGCUGUCACUUAUAGAUGGAUCCGCGCCGCAUUAGCUAGUUGGUAAGGUAACGGCUUACCAAGGCAACGAUGCGUAGCCGACCUGAGAGGGGGAUCGGCCACACUGGAACUGAGACACGGUCCAGCCUCCUACGGGGGGCAGCAGUAGGGAAUCUUCCGAAAGGGGCGAAAGCCUAAAGGAGCAACGCCGGGUGAGUGAUGAAGGGCUUGGGAUCGUAAAACCCUUUUAUUAGGGAAAAAAAAAUGUGAAAGUAACCAGGCACGUCUGGACGGUACCAAAGCAGAAAGCCACGGCUAACUACGG